Molecule: ribosomal RNA, 564 nt
Filed under: uncultured bacterium
Lineage: Bacteria
Description: partial 16S ribosomal RNA
Rfam family: Bacterial small subunit ribosomal RNA
Source: RNAcentral
UGGGGAAUAUUGGACAAUGGGGGCAACCCUGAUCCAGCCAUGCCGCGUGAGUGAUGAAGGCCUUCGGGUUGUAAAGCUCUUUUGGCGGGGACGAUGAUGACGGUACCCGCAGAAUAAGCCCCGGCUAACUUCGUGCCAGCAGCCGCGGUAAGACGAAGGGGGCUAGCGUUGUUCGGAAUUACUGGGCGUAAAGCGAGUGUAGGCGGUUGCCGUAGUCAGGUGUGAAAGCCUUGAGCUCAACUCAAGAAAUGCACUUGAUACUGGGUGACUAGAGGACCGGAGAGGAUAGUGGAAUUCCCAGUGUAGUGGUGAAAUACGUAGAGAUUGGGAAGAACACCAGUGGCGAAGGCGGCUAUCUGGACGGUUACUGACGCUAAGACUCGAAAGCGUGGGGAGCAAACAGGAUUAGAUACCCUGGUAGUCCACGCCGUAAAACGAUGGGUGCUAGACGUUGGCGAGCUUGCUCGUCAGUGUCGCAGCUAACGCGUUAAGCACCCCGCCUGGGGAGUACGGCCGCAAGGUUGAAAACUUAAAUGAAAUUGACGGGGGUCAUAGCUGUUUCCU